Molecule: ribosomal RNA, 817 nt
Filed under: uncultured bacterium
Lineage: Bacteria
Description: SSU rRNA
Rfam family: Bacterial small subunit ribosomal RNA
Source: RNAcentral
CGGGAGCAAUCCUGGUGGCGAGUGGCGAACGGGUGAGUAAUAUAUCGGAACGUGCCCAAUCGUGGGGGAUAACGCAGCGAAAGCUGUGCUAAUACCGCAUACGAUCUACGGAUGAAAGCGGGGGAUUCGCAAGAACCUCGCGCGAAUGGAGCGGCCGAUAUCAGAUUAGCUAGUUGGUGGGGUAAAAGCUCACCAAGGCGACGAUCUGUAGCUGGUCUGAGAGGACGACCAGCCACACUGGAACUGAGACACGGUCCAGACUCCUACGGGAGGCAGCAGUGGGGAAUUUUGGACAAUGGGCGCAAGCCUGAUCCAGCAAUGCCGCGUGCAGGAUGAAGGCCUUCGGGUUGUAAACUGCUUUUGUACGGAACGAAACGGUCUUCUCUAAUAAAGAGGGCUAAUGACGGUACCGUAAGAAUAAGCACCGGCUAACUACGUGCCAGCAGCCGCGGUAAUACGUAGGGUGCGAGCGUUAAUCGGAAUUACUGGGCGUAAAGCGUGCGCAGGCGGUGAUGUAAGACAGAUGUGAAAUCCCCGGGCUCAACCUGGGACCUGCAUUUGUGACUGCAUCGCUAGAGUACGGUAGAGGGGGAUGGAAUUCCGCGUGUAGCAGUGAAAUGCGUAGAUAUGCGGAGGAACACCGAUGGCGAAGGCAAUCCCCUGGACCUGUACUGACGCUCAUGCACGAAAGCGUGGGGAGCAAACAGGAUUAGAUACCCUGGUAGUCCACGCCGUANACGAUGAAUACUAGAUGUUGGUCAUAUUGAUCAGUGUCGCAGCUAACGCGUUAAGUAUUCCACCUGGGAAGUACGCCCGC